ACAACAUUCGGACCGUCGGUCUACCGAGCAAUAUCACCCGCUCGGUGGAAGAUCUUCACUUUGUCGU
Bombyx mori (domestic silkworm) is the source of this 67-nucleotide non-coding RNA. The record is from Rfam. Lineage: Eukaryota; Metazoa; Arthropoda; Insecta; Lepidoptera; Bombycidae.